AGUCGAGAAUCUUCGGCAAUGGACGAAAGUCUGACCGAGCGACGCCGCGUGCGGGAUGAAGGCCCUCGGGUUGUAAACCGCUGUCAGUUUGGAGGAAAGGUCUGUGAAGAGCAGGCUUUGACCGAUAUUCAGAGGAAGGACGGGCUAAGUUCGUGCCAGCAGCCGCGGUAAGACGAACCGUCCAAACGUUAUUCGGUAUCACUGGGCUUAAAGCGUGCGUAGGCGGCUUGGUAGGUGUGAUGUGAAAGCCCACGGCUCAACCGUGGAAUUGCGUCGCAAACCCCCAAGCUUGAGGAAGACAGGGGUGUUGGGAACUUAUGGUGGAGCGGUGAAAUGCGUUGAUAUCAUAGGGAACACCGGUGGCGAAGGCGCAACACUGGGUCUUUUCUGACGCUGAGGCACGAAAGCUAGGGUAGCGAA
This 420-nucleotide ribosomal RNA is filed under the name uncultured Rhodopirellula sp. RNAcentral describes it as "bacterial SSU rRNA". It matches the Rfam family "Bacterial small subunit ribosomal RNA", at positions 353 to 772 of the family's 1533-position model. The record is from RNAcentral. Lineage: Bacteria; Pseudomonadati; Planctomycetota; Planctomycetia; Pirellulales; Pirellulaceae.